CUGAUCUUAUCUAUCUACUGAUUCUCUGUGGGAGGAGUCACUCAUUCACCUUAUAAAAGCAGUACUUUCAACCUGAUUCAGUGCACUAUCUGUCAUUCACUCAUCUGAUAAAGGAAUGGAAUCCACAUGUCGCUUAUACAUCAGCCUCCCGAAAGAACAUGAGGAUACUUUUGGAGAAAAAUUUGGAGAAUGGGACUAUGGGAUUGUUGUUACAGAUUUGAAUCCAUGUUUGACAGAUGUUGAUCUUCGUGCCUACUUUCAUAGGUUUGGAACAAUAACAGAAUGUGUUAUCAAUAAAGACGAGUCAUCAGGUUGUCCAAAGGGUGUGGGGUUUGUGAGAUAUUCAUCUUCAGAUCAGGCUGAAGCACCUCUAACAAAUGAUUCACACUAUCUUGGAGGCUUUCAGGUGAAAAUCCGCAAAGUUUGUACACCUAAGAUGAAUCAAACUUAAAUUUACAGGGCUGCUGAAUCAUCAUCAUGCACCAUCAACCUUCAUAUGCUGUACAAAGUGUUUGAUAUCAAACCUUUUUUUCUUGUUUCAUUCACAGAUUCUGUAUAUAUUAACAAUUUAGUGUCAGAUUUUUGUACUUAGUUACAUUGAUAUUGCUUUGAUAUUUUAUUAUGAUUCAAUGCCUAUGACAUGUCCUUUACUUGUUUGCAUGAAAUGUUUAGUAAAUGAAUUCUCCCAACACUUUUGAGUUGUCAGAUGUGUUUUCUGAGAUUAAAAGCACAUUAAGAGAGAAUUCGAUAUAAUUCAUGAUCUUUAAGAGAACUAACAAUGACAACAGAUGUUUCACAGUAUAUGAGACCAGACAGCAUCUAGUGAGGUCAUCUGGUAAAUUUGAAUUAAACCCUUGUUGUGAUUCAGUCAAUCAGUAAAUUAAUUGUUGUCAUUUAAUUUAAUGCUGAAGUACAGAGGGAGUUAUUUCACCUUCAUCUAAUUUAUUUCUGCCCAGAUGUGAAAACUGUGCUAUUAGCUUGUCAGAAAAAAAACAAAACAAAGUAAUUUUUUGCCAUUUUAUUUUAUUAAACUACUUCUGAUGAGUCUUUUCUUAUUACAACAUGUACAAAAUCUGGUUGGCUACAGUGGUCCAGAGUAAGUGCUUCUGUGAAAG
Non-coding RNA from Paramisgurnus dabryanus, 1115 nucleotides. The record is from RefSeq and is a predicted model, not a curated record. Lineage: Eukaryota; Metazoa; Chordata; Actinopteri; Cypriniformes; Cobitidae.